UGUUCGGCAAUGAACUCGAUC
RNAcentral lists this non-coding RNA (21 nucleotides) under Caenorhabditis elegans. Lineage: Eukaryota; Metazoa; Nematoda; Chromadorea; Rhabditida; Rhabditidae. The record is from RNAcentral.